This 74-nucleotide transfer RNA is filed under the name candidate division WS2 bacterium ADurb.Bin280. RNAcentral's name for it is "tRNA-His". It matches the Rfam family "tRNA". Rfam says of the family: Transfer RNA (tRNA) molecules are approximately 80 nucleotides in length. The record is from RNAcentral.
GUGGUCAUAGUUUAAUGGUAAAACACUAGCCUGUGGAGCUGGAUUUGAGAGUUCGAUUCUCUCUGGCCACCCCA